Equus caballus (horse) is the source of this 3729-nucleotide long non-coding RNA. NCBI's taxonomy places the organism in Eukaryota, Metazoa, Chordata, Mammalia, Perissodactyla, Equidae. The record is from Ensembl.
UAAGGAGCAUCCAAGCAGAGAGGCAGUUCUGGGCGGCUUCCUUUAAAACUGUAGUUUCCACAAGUGAGAAACUAGGGAAAGCAGAUAUUUUCUUCUCCAAUACUCUUCAAACACUCAUUUCUCAUCCCUGAGACCCAGACCCCCUGACUUUCUCACUCUUCUCUGAAUCUCCUGCUUCUCUUGCAUAUUUUGUUCUCAUAUUCUCCGCUUUCAUCCAUUAAAUACUUCUUUUUCUUUUUCCUUGUCCCUUUUCUCCACCUCACAGUCAGCCUAAUCAUGGCACAGACAACUAGAGGGAGAUUGUUCCACUCCCUUUCUGAAAUUUCUGAAAUCCAUCUACAGAAUCGAGGUCGGUAAUCCUCAUCUUUGUCCAUGUUUCCUAAGUCACAAGGACAAGCAGAAAAAGGAAAAGAUAACACCUGUGUGGUUCCCCCAGAAGAAGGAGUAAGAUAUACACAUCUCUGAAGUCCCGGCCAUGAAAUGGAUAGAAAUGGCAGAAUUCAAGCUGGAGUUUUACAAGUUGAAUGUACAGUGGCUCCUAACCUCUUCCCAAAGGGCAGAUGAUCCUUUAUUCUUAAGUCUUCCCUUUCCUGUGAGCGAUUCUCCGUGACAUCUCAGAAUGAGUAGGACCUCCUGUGUGAGCAGACGUUUGGAAAAGCCACAAGGGAUGAGUGUCAUUACACAAAUCUGCAGGGCCAUGGGUCAUAUUGAAAUGUGAACAUAUCCUAUGGUCCCAGUGUUGGGAGUACAUGAAGAGUGGAAGAGAAAGGAAGUGUGAAAUGGAGGAAGCCAGAAAUCAAUCUGAAGAAAAUUCUCCCAACAACAGUUGUGCAAACUUUCAGUUUCUCAUCAAUGAUUUUCUUUGCAAAGAUGCCUGGUCAAGAUGGACCUUCUCUCCUGACCAGAAUAUACUGCAGCAUAUACAGUUAUAAACACAUCAUACAUUAUUUUUCCAUUUUGAUGGGGACUAUGAGAAAUAAAAUACUAGACUUAUCAGAAUUCCUAUGAUUGUAGAGCACAAACUGGAAGCAGCAGUAAAAGCUAUGUGUAUUAAGCCACUGUAUUCAUCUAAACUAGGAGUAGUACAAAAUUUCAAUCAACUAUGCUAAAGGAGAGAGCGAGCUAUCUUUCUAUUCUCUCUGUAGAAAAUACUACAAAAUCAUUUUAACAUGAAAAGGCAAAGAGUAUGCAGUCAAAAACGUAGGAAGACAGCAUAGUGGUAUGUCAAGCAGUCAGUUAAUAAAAAUAUGUCAUUUUUCUUUUCUUUUUUUUUUGAGGAAGAUUGGCCCUGGGCUAACAUCUGUGCCCAUCUUCUUCUACUUUAUAUGUGGGUCACCUGCCCCAACAUGGCUUGACAAGCAGUGCGUAGGAUCCGAACUGGCAAAUCCUAGGCUGCCAAAGCAGUGUGUGCGAACUUAACUGCUCCGCCAUCAGGCCAGCCCCUGUCAUUUUUCUUGAUUUUGUGAUACUUGUCGUAUUGGUCACAUUUUUAGAAGUUAUUUUUUGGGAUUUCUUUUCACUUUCUAAAUAAAUCCUCAGUUGUUGCUUAAUUCUUCCAAUUGCAGAAGCUUCAUGUUUCCCUAAACCCCAUUUGCUCUGCUCCCUAAGUCUAUGCCUCGCUAACAGGCACAAAUGAUUCUGCAAAUUCCUGUCUGCUGUUCAAAGUGACGUCAGGCGCUUUGUCUCCUGGGUAUGAGGAGCAAUUGUAGAUUUGCUCUAACAACAAAUAGGUAAGAGUUAUGAACAUGCCUUUCUUUUCUUCAGCAGAGUUAAACAAGGGCUCACUCUCUGGAUUUCCAGAUGCACUUAAAAUGAAAUAAUAAUGUUAGGCCAGUCUUGCCCUGCUUUAAAUUAAUCAUUCCAGGAAGAGACAUUAAACUUUUCAGACCACCAAUGUGCACAAAUGCUUUAGUGCCCCAGACCAUACACUCUCUCUUGAUUAUUUGGGACACAAGGAAAGGUAAGCUCAGUAAAUGAGGUUGUUUUAUGAUCAAUUUAAGUAAUCUGAAAAGGAAAUUAAUACUUUUAUUACUUUCUAUAAGUGAAAAACUUCCUUAAAAAUCUAUAAGAGUUCUUUAUGUUAUAGUAGCUAGGACUCUCUGAGCCAAAUAAUGGAUCCAGAGAAAUAACAGAAAGUUAGGGAAUGGAUGCAUGGCCCCACAAAUCAAAAUGGAAUAGACAAGAAAAACUGGAAACUAAUCUGGGGCUAAAGAAAAUCAAUACUAAUGGAGAGAAGCAAAUUCACUUAAUUAGAAAUCAGGCUGUGAUUUAAAAAUAAAGUAUUUCUUAGUCUUUCUGAAUAGUAAGAAUGUUUGCUGGGGCUACUGCAAGGAUGGGAAGGGAGUCUGGAGAAAACAUGGAGAGCGUUUGUGACCCUCUACUCCACAUUAGUACUCUCAGUACUUAUUAUGUGAGAAAAAAAUCUCUUUCAAACACUUGUCUCAAACUUUAAGUGCUCACAGCCAUCCAGUAAAGAAAGUAAAAAUAUCCUAAUUGAACAGAAAAGGAAACUAAGUUUACUUCUCUGCCCUCAUUUUUUACCUCUUUCUGCCUCAACCAGCUCCAGCCAUGCUGGCUUUUGUUCUGUUUCUGAAACACCAAACAUACUCCGGUCUCUGAGCCUUUGAAUUAGCUCUUCCUUCUGCCUAGGACAUUCCUCCUAGAUUCUACAUGGCUCACUCCCUUACUCUACUUAGAUCUCUGUUCAAAUGUCACCCUAUCGAGAAUCCCUACUCCAUAACUUUGUCCCCUUACCCCGUUUUAUUUUUCUUCUUAGUAUGUCACGGAGUUUUUGUUGCUCCUAAUUGUCUUCAAGAGCUAAUGGACAUUUGGAGAUAGAACUUGAUCACUGCAUAGCUCAAAAGGAACACAGCAAAUAGCUUUGCUCUACAACUGGUCAUACAAAUGUUGGUUUCCAAUUUGAUGCCUUGCAGUAUCUUACAUGAGAGAUUUUCAAACAAAGCUCACAAUGAACUCUUAACUGGUUGUACAUGGUCAAAUUCUUCUACUAGAUGGACUAUUUAUUUCUUUAAAUACUGGCAUUUAUAUGACUCAAGGUCCCAGUAGGUAUCAGUUGGCAUACUCGAAUUAAGAAAACUCUAGGAUUUUUUAAGUAAGGGACAGUUUACAUGGUGUAUUAGUUUCCGAGAGCUGCUGUCCAACAAACUAGGUGGCUGAAACAGAAGAAAUUUAUUGUCUCACAGUUGUGGAGGCCAAAAGUCCAAGACCAAGAGAGGGUGACAGAUGCCCUAGAGAUCUGAAGAGGGACAAAAAAUCCAUACCUCUCUUGACAGAAUAAACAAGUUUUUCAGGUUCCAUGUCAGUUUGUGGAAGAUUCACUCUGAAAUCCAGUGACCUCUGGCCCGCACGCUGGAGGAGUGGUCCUGAGUCCAUUAAAAUUCAUGCUCAGAGUCUGAUGGAUCAUAUGGGAAUCGCUGUAACAGAAAUCAUUCCUGAGGCACAGUGUGUUAGCCCCCCUUCUCCUCGUCACAGUGACGAUGGCUCAGAGGAGCAGUCGUGGAUUUAACGAAUCCUCAGCUAGAGAGAAAAUUCUAACUGGGAAAAGGUUGAAUGACCUCCCGCCAAAGCUGCUGAUGAAGGAGACACUAAGAAGAGCAAAUAUCAGCAAAAAUCUGAUAAUAUUUGCCUUUCCAAUGGUAAAGACAACACUCAGAAAUGCUGUGGCCAAGUAAGGAAUUGGAAGAAAUAAAAAAGGAAGGGAAAGGAAGG